AAAUUUAUGUUAACGCCUUAAUGCGUUUCCAGCAGUUUCUCGGAGGGAAAAUUUAAAAGCGGAUUAUUAAAGAGAAGUCCUGACUGCUUUUUCACCGUGUUUUUCACUCUUUUACAGGCUGCCAGAAAGAAUCCGUCUCUAUACGGUGAGGUAUUGUUGCUGUUGCUUUCUGAACUACAAAAUGAGUUUUACAUUCAUUAUUGAGUGAUUAUUGAAUGAGACUGUAAAUUAUAAAUGUAAUGUUUUAACUCUAACUCUAGAUGUUUGUUUGUGUAAAUGCUGUGUGUGCGGUGAGUUCUGCGCGAGCGGGGAGCAGAGUUGCCAUGGAAACGGGGCGUCAACACAAAAACCGUUACUGGCAAGCAGUGAUCUCCGUCUCUUGCUGCAGUUUACACUGUUUUAGGAGGACAGAAAGAAACUCUACAGAACAGAAGUGAAGCUCCAAGAUUUCAACAUUUCUGAAGGGAGAUACUGACUUAGAAAUACAGGUGAACUGAAGAAGCUCAUGAAAUACAUUAAUAUGCCUUUUUCAGAAUAUAUUUCACCAAUUUUAAGAAGUCCCUGACAUCAAAACAUUGCUUGUUUUGUUCCUGGACUCUUCAGUGAUGAUGGCAGAGUCUGAGUGAACCUGCUGUCAGACAGUGAGUA
Carassius carassius (crucian carp) is the source of this 648-nucleotide long non-coding RNA. RefSeq lists it as uncharacterized. The record is from RefSeq and is a predicted model, not a curated record. The transcript has 3 exons. Lineage: Eukaryota; Metazoa; Chordata; Actinopteri; Cypriniformes; Cyprinidae.